AUGGAUCCAGCCGAGGGCCGAAGGAUACUGGUGGCCGUGGACGAGGGCGACGAGAGCGUCCACGCGCUGCGAUGGUGCCUCACCAACUUCGCCGCGCGCGGCGACGGCGAGCUUGCCCCACCGGACACCAUCCUCCUGCUCUACGUCCGGCCCACGCCGCCCACCUACUCCGUGCUCGACGCCUCCGCCCCGCUAGGCUAUAUGUUUGCCAAUGAGGCGACCGCCGCGAUCGACGGGUACAGCCGGGCGGUGGCGGACGCGGUGGUGGACAAGGCGCAGAAGCUCUGCGCGCUCCACAGCAAAGAGAACGGCAAGGUGAAGGUGGAUGUGAAGGUGGCGGUUGGGGACGCCCGGAGCGUCAUCUGCGACAUGGUGGACAAGCUCGGAGCCGACCUGCUGGUGAUGGGGAGCCAUGGCUAUGGCUUUCUCAAGAGGGCUCUCCUCGGGAGUGUCAGCGAUUACUGCGUCAGGAACGCCAACUGCCCCGUUCUCAUCGUCAAGUCGAAAUAA
RNAcentral lists this ribosomal RNA (510 nucleotides) under Triticum aestivum (bread wheat). RNAcentral's name for it is "partial small subunit ribosomal RNA". The record is from RNAcentral. Lineage: Eukaryota; Viridiplantae; Streptophyta; Magnoliopsida; Poales; Poaceae.